GAUGAACGCUGGCGGCGUGCCUAACACAUGCAAGUCGAACGGAGAUUACGGACGGAAGGUUUCGGAUGGAAGACUGUAAUUCUUAGUGGCGGACGGGUGAGUAACGCGUGGGCAACCUGCCCUAUACAGGGGGAUAGCAGCUGGAAACGGCUGGUAAGACCGCAUAAGUCGGCGAGACCGCAUGGUUUUGCCGGGAAAUGAGCAAUCAGGUAUAGGAUGGGCCCGCGUCCGAUUAGCCAGUUGGCAGGGUAAAAGCCUACCAAAGCAACGAUCGGUAGCCGGACUGAGAGGUCGGACGGCCACAUUGGGACUGAGACACGGCCCAAACUCCUACGGGAGGCAGCAGUGGGGGAUAUUGCACAAUGGAGGAAACUCUGAUGCAGCGACGCCGCGUGAGUGAAGAAGUAUUUCGGUAUGUAAAGCUCUAUCAGCAGGGAAGAUGAUGACGGUACCUGACGAAGAAGCCCCGGCUAACUACGUG
RNAcentral lists this ribosomal RNA (481 nucleotides) under uncultured bacterium. Its description in RNAcentral is "partial 16S ribosomal RNA". It matches the Rfam family "Bacterial small subunit ribosomal RNA", at positions 28 to 507 of the family's 1533-position model. The record is from RNAcentral.